RNAcentral lists this long non-coding RNA (2181 nucleotides) under Elaeis guineensis (African oil palm). Its description in RNAcentral is "long non-coding RNA (EGUI_LNC005488)". The record is from RNAcentral. Lineage: Eukaryota; Viridiplantae; Streptophyta; Magnoliopsida; Arecales; Arecaceae.
CAGUAGACAGCUAAACUACUUUUUCACUCUCCUUGUUUCAUCUCUUAGGAACAGAAUUCCAAGAGCAAACUUUCAAUUACAGCAUAUGCACAAGAGAAUGAAAAGCAUCAACCUAGAUCACCAAAUCACAGCUAAGUUUUCUUUGCAUUGCUGCUUUAUCAGUUGCACUAUUUAAAUAACCGUGGGGAGAAUAUUUCCCAUGCUGUUCUCUAGACAUGAUUCCAAGUUUGGAACUUGAUGCUCAAUCACAUCUUUUGACAACAUCUAGAUCCAUAAUUUGUCGUUCACCUGCUCAGACUAUUAGUAGUUCUACUUUAAGAACUAAACCUACAUAGAAUUUUCCUACUUGGAAGGCCAGACGUUUAAGAAAAUUGGAUAAACAAUAAUUGACCUAGGUGCAGAAUCGCUCCACUCAGUGUUAUCUAAUUGCUUAAGCAAUAUUCCAAUCUUGGGUCAGAUAAGAGUUCGCAGGAUUCUGUGUGAUCUCAGCUUAUUAGUCUGGCUUACAUAACCAGAGUUUAUUAUAUUUGGUUCUGCACUGCAUGUUGAACUUUUAAUCAUCAACCUACUUCAUAUCAAGGGGACAUCAGACCAAAGGAUCAAGAUCAUUCUAAAUUUUUAUAAGAUAUAAUAUCUCGGAGGUUACUUCCGUUAGAGGGUAUAUUGAUGCAUUUUUUUUUUCAUGGCAGAAAUACUUCAAUUUAAUGUCAUCCUCGUCUAAUGUCCAGAGCUUUUAGUUUUAUAUUACCUCUCUAUUUGCCAAAUCUAGGAAAAUUCUUAAUCCAAAGUUUCACAGUUGUUGAUGACACCAAGGUAUCACAUCAUGCUACUCUCUCUGUUUAUUAACUUUGUGCCUUGAUAUUUCAGUGCAUUUCAUCAGCUAUACAAUCUGCUUGGAACAAAAGCAACAGCUAUAGUUGAGGAAAACCCGGCUCUACAUGAGCCCACACUUGUGAUCACUUCUCUCUACGAAUAGUGGCUUCAUCAAUCAACAAUGCCCGCAAAUCAAAAAUUUAAUUCGGACAGUCGUCUCAAUUCUAAAGCUCUAAAACUCAAUCAUAUCGCGGAAGAUUCCACAGACAAGACAUGAGUAGAAUGAAACAUCUACCCUUGAUUUUGAACAUGAAAACCAGGUGAAACAAACCACAAUUGCUAAAUAUGAACUCUCCCUGCUGACAUAGUGAAAAGAAACGAUACAGUUUUUUUUGCAAUGAUCUCAGAAAUUCUACAUAUAGCCCACUCUUAAUUUUUGUGCUUUGUAAUUACCGUCCAUUUCAGCAGUUAUAAAAUCUGCUUGGAACCUAAGCAACAGCCAGAGUUCAUAAGAACUUGUAAUCACUUCUCUCUAUGAAUAAUGGCAGUCAACAAUGACUGCAAAUGGAAGAUUGAAUUCAGAAGCUCAUAUGAAUUUUUGAGCCCCAAAGCUUUAGCAUAUCAGUGAAGAUUCCACAGACAAGGCAUGAAUAGAAUGAAACAUCUAUCCUCAGUUUUGAAAAUGAAAACCAGGUGAAACAAACCACAAUUGCUGAAUCUGUCUCCCGAUGAUAUGAUGAAAAUAAACAAUAGAGCUCUUUGCAUUGAUCUUAGACGAUCUAUCCAUAGCUCACUCUUGAACUCAGCACCAGUCAGAUGAUGUUCAUUUGCAUGCCUUUAUGAUAUUAAACAGGUUAUUGCACUUGUUUACAAUAAGAUGAGCCCAUGUCUUACUUCUUUUUUUUUUUUUUUUUUGAGAAAAUGUCUUACUCAUUUAGAGACUCGAUGACUAUGCUUUGUUCAUUGCCUCAUUCAUAGCCCUCAGCUUGGUAAUACAAGCCUCCCUGACAUUAACAACAAUCUCACUAAAAACAUAGUCACUUUCUAAGCAAAAAACAAAAACUAUUGCCAUUAAGAUUUGUUCUGGACUUCUAUCUAUUUCUUGUCCCUUAAGGUUUGUUUGUCGCCCAAGAUUAGUUAUUAAUGCAACAUGAGUGCACCUCAGAUCUUGAUAUUCAAAACUUUGGAACAAAGACCUUAAUACAAGUCAAAUAGUCACAUGAUUUUGUCAAUAUUCCUCAGACAUUUUGCUGAUAUGGGUCCUACCAUUUUCAUCCACCUAAUAGUUGCAUGAUUUUGUCAGUAGUCCUCAGACAUUUCACUGAUAUGGUCAUACGAUUUCCAUCCAGCUGCAUGUUGACAUUCUUC